RNAcentral lists this long non-coding RNA (1216 nucleotides) under Capra hircus (goat). RNAcentral's name for it is "lncRNA (ENSCHIG00010004420.1)". The record is from RNAcentral. Lineage: Eukaryota; Metazoa; Chordata; Mammalia; Artiodactyla; Bovidae.
UCUGUUUGCUUAAUUUUCUUCUAGAUUUUCCAGGGAGAUCUGUCAGUUAUUAACAGGUUAGAUUCUUACCUCAUUCAGUCUUCAUGUAGGCCUAGAAUUGAUGAUCAACAUCAAGUAGUUUUGACUGUUUAAUGUAAAACUAGAAAAAAUGUCAAGAGAUGUUUGUGUGUGUUCAACAGGGCGGCAAGAAAUGUGUUUGUUUACACUGCUUAUACACCAGAAUACAAUAUGUGAGAUACUAUGGAUUAUGAUUCACUUAUCAGCAAGCAAGAAAAUUAUUGUAUGGAAGGCAAUAUAAACAUCAGAAGAUGACUUCUUGAUUCACUUCCAGAUGGAAUAAGUUAAGUAAUUUGGAAGACAGAAGUCCUGAUAUUGAAUCAAUAGCCAUUCACACCACUUAGGAACAAAAUCACAGGUAUAUGGAAAUAAACGCACCUCUUAUUUAGAGCCCUCUUCCAAUGCCUUAGUGAGAGGGGAAGUUGUUCUUUAUUGGAGAAGAUUAUGUACAUUUCCUUAAUCUUAUUCCUAUGAGUGAAUUACUUUAGACAAAUGCCUGAAAGCAUUCAGAUUCAAAGGCAUUUGCCUCUAAUAGAAUUGUGAUAACCUGACCGCAAGUAGAGAGUUUCAUUCAUAACAUCCCAAAACAUAAACUGAGUUCUGUGAAUCAUAGAUAGAGACAUCGAUUCAUUGCCUUUUCAAUAGAUUACUACUUGGAAGUGCAUUUUAACCUUUUUUCUCUUUACUUGGUUUCCUUACAUUCAAAAGAUUGUUUCUACCAAAGUUUCUAAAUUGCUUUGUAUACAUAGUAUAUAUCUUCAGGGUGGUUGAUUGAGAUGGGGGUGUUGGAGAAAAGUAGAUUAGGAAAUGAUUUCUUAGAAUUCUUCAUGACCUUGUAUUAGGAAGAAAUGGUGGUUCUAGCCAUUGUGAGUAACUUACCCAGGGUUGAUUUUAAAACUUGUAAAAGGGUGAGUUUUUAAAGGAAAACAGGCAGAAAAGCAUCUAUCUUGAAAUAAUUCUAGCUUUCUUUUUCCUUGUUCCUCAAAAGUUACCAAUGAUGACUUCAAUUUUUAUUGUCCAUAGAAAUAUGGACAAUAAAAAUUGAUGUUGGCACAUUCAAAAUGAAACCACAGAACAGCAAAGUCCAAACCGGGAAGGUCUGGUGUUUACCUGCUGCUGCUAAGUCGCUUCAGUCGUGUCCGACCCUGUGCGACCCCAU